This 253-nucleotide ribosomal RNA is filed under the name uncultured bacterium. RNAcentral describes it as "partial 16S ribosomal RNA". It matches the Rfam family "Bacterial small subunit ribosomal RNA", at positions 524 to 776 of the family's 1533-position model. The record is from RNAcentral.
UACGUAGGGUGCAAGCGUUGUCCGGAAUUAUUGGGCGUAAAGAGCUCGUAGGCGGUUUGUCGCGUCUGCUGUGAAAACUCGGGGCUUAACUCCGGGCCUGCAGUGGGUACGGGCAGACUAGAGUUCGGUAGGGGAGACUGGAAUUCCUGGUGUAGCGGUGAAAUGCGCAGAUAUCAGGAGGAACACCGGUGGCGAAGGCGGUUCUCUGGGACGGUACUGACGCUGAGACGCGAAAGCGUGGGGAGCGAACAGG